RNAcentral lists this ribosomal RNA (292 nucleotides) under uncultured bacterium. Its description in RNAcentral is "partial 16S ribosomal RNA". It matches the Rfam family "Bacterial small subunit ribosomal RNA", at positions 505 to 796 of the family's 1533-position model. The record is from RNAcentral.
GUGCCAGCAGCCGCGGUAAAACGUAGGACGCGAGCGUUAUCCGGAGUUACUGGGCGUAAAGGGUGGGCAGGCGGCCGUGUCAGAUGGGUGUGAAAUCUCCCGGCUCAACCGGGAGGGGCCACUCGUGACUGCACGGCUGGAGGGCAGCAGAGGCGCGUGGAAUUCCGGGUGGAGUGGUGAAAUGCGUAGAGAUCCGGAGGAACACCAGAGGCGAAGGCGGCGCGCUGGGCUGCACCUGACGCUGAACCACGAAAGCCAGGGUAGCGAACGGGAUUAGAAACCCCCGUAGUCC